Molecule: long non-coding RNA, 10557 nt
Filed under: Triticum aestivum (bread wheat)
Lineage: Eukaryota; Viridiplantae; Streptophyta; Magnoliopsida; Poales; Poaceae
Description: long non-coding RNA (TAES_LNC025616)
Source: RNAcentral
UUUCUUUUUUCUUUUCCUCUUUAUACUUGAUUCACUCACUUAGAUGUGCAAUAACUAGAGCACAUCUAGAUGUGCCCUAGACACACCCUUAAAAUUAUGAGAAAUGAAAAGUAGUGACUUAGAUAUUACUAGGAGUAACAUAUUUAUGUGCAGAAACUCUCAGCACAAUUUAUUGAGCAUAGCUAACAGGUUAGAUGAUAUGUUCACUGAGUCAGAGCUUAUCCUAAGUUGGUUAGGCUGGAGGGUCAAAUCUAAUAAAGUCCUUCACACAUAACAAAUUCAAAAAAAUCACAACAUGUAGUUACCCAUCUUCCUGCCUUAGUUGAAUAAGAAUAUUAGACUAGUGUGUCCCAGAUUACACCAAUCCCCAUUCUCACACCUACAAUCAUCAAAAUACUAUGCGAACAUGCCUAAUUUUGAUCAGCUCAGGAACACUAUCAUCAUUCUGUACAAUUUGAUGCGUGCAUAACGAUGUAGACUUUGUUGUGUACAGAUGAAAAGGUGCAAUUGACGGUACAUAACCAAAAAAUCAAAUCGAAGUUUGUGUCGGCCUAAUUUUAAUAGGCAACGAAAACAGCAGAGACCAAUUUUUACGCAAGUUAAUCGCCAAAAUUACCGAUUACACCCCUAUAGUAAAUCGAAGCAACAAAGGCUCAAACAGAUGCAAUACCAUGAUCAAACAUGUUACCUUCGAUAACAAAAAAAACGCGAAACUUCACCAACAAGGAAAACCUAGAUCCAAAACCGAUCCGCCCACAAAACCAAAACCAGAUAUCGGCACAUGACACCGAACCUAAUUCACCGGCCCGGCCCAUGGCAAAUAGAUCCACACCUCCGCCAUCCCGAGAGGAACCGGCGUCGCCUACGGCCAGCGAGGAGGAUGCAGACAUGAAUCAGNNNNNNNNNNNNNNNNNNNNNNNNNNNNNNNNNNNNNNNNNNNNNNNNNNNNNNNNNNNNNNNNNNNNNNNNNNNNNNNNNNNNNNNNNNNNNNNNNNNNNNNNNNNNNNNNNNNNNNNNNNNNNNNNNNNNNNNNNNNNNNNNNNNNNNNNNNNNNNNNNNNNNNNNNNNNNNNNNNNNNNNNNNNNNNNNNNNNNNNNNNNNNNNNNNNNNNNNNNNNNNNNNNNNNNNNNNNNNNNNNNNNNNNNNNNNNNNNNNNNNNNNNNNNNNNNNNNNNNNNNNNNNNNNNNNNNNNNNNNNNNNNNNNNNNNNNNNNNNNNNNNNNNNNNNNNNNNNNNNNNNNNNNNNNNNNNNNNNNNNNNNNNNNNNNNNNNNNNNNNNNNNNNNNNNNNNNNNNNNNNNNNNNNNNNNNNNNNNNNNNNNNNNNNNNNNNNNNNNNNNNNNNNNNNNNNNNNNNNNNNNNNNNNNNNNCAGCCUUGACUCCAGUCGCCGCCGGGGAAACCCUAAACCUAGGAGAGAAGGGGAGAGGCGGCGAAGAGGCAGGCGAGGCGGGGAAAGAGGUGGAAGCAAAGCGGGAAAUGCGAGAGACGAGCUGGAGCCUGAGGGGGCGAGAUUUUGUUUCUUCCUCUCGUCUUCCUUUCUGUAUUUAUUUAUAUAUUCUGGCUCUCCUUUGCACAUUGACAAUUUGUGACUUUGGGCUAUAUGGCGGUUCGAAACAGCACGCGGUUAUCGUGACACGUCGGGCCCGUUGCCGUGUCACCUAUAAGGGCAUGGCCAACGGGCCACGCUGGACCGGUGCCCCAAGCGCCACAUCAUCUCGCUGAUUGCCACAUCCGCUGAACGUGCUGCUUGGAGAGGGAAACGGGCUCCUGCAGAAGAGAUCGGCUCCUCCCUGACAAAAGCGAUGAGGCAGCCCCUAGAGCGACGCAGUGUGAACUGCCCAGCUAGCUCUUGUCCAGGACCACAGCGCGGUGAUGCUCUGUCCUGGUUGCAUGUGUUGAAAAGGGAGUGAGAGAAAAAAGCAUGAUGAUGACAUCAAGAAACUAGCCUCCAUUGAGUGAUUGUAAUACACAUCAUAGCUUCAUUCAAAUUUAUCUAGGUGGAAGAUAUGAGGCAGCAGUAGGCUGAUGCCUCCAUUGUACAUGCCCUAAACCGCUUGGGUCACGCUGUCUGAAAGUGGUAAAUCCCUACCCUCAAAAAAAGAAAGUGGUAAAUCCCUUCUCUCUUUUUUUGAGUAACGGUAAAUCCCUGCCGACCAUCAGCUAGGAGAAGGGUCUAGCGACCCCUUUCCACCGUUGCACGAAUCUUGACGCAGGGUCAGUGCCACGUCAGAUUUCAAACUAACUAGAAGGGUUGAACGCGCUUUGCUGCGCCGUUGUGACUUUCUUUUAAAAAAUCACUCUCUUUCACAAUAUAAGGUAUAUUAUUUUUUUGAAAAGAUAAAUCUUUUAAGUUUCAUCAAAUUUGUAGAGAAAUAUAUCAAAAUUCAUAAUAUCAUAUUGGUAUUUUUAGAUUCAUCAUGAAAUGAAUUUUAAUAUUUUUUUGUUUAAUAUUGCGGAUGUCGAUAUUUUUGCUUUGAACUUGCUCUAAGUUGAAAAUUUUGACUUCCUAGAAAAACUAAUACCCUUUAUAUUUUGGAACUGAGAAAAUAUUUAGUCUGGCGUGUGGGGAAGAUGAUAGUGUGUUUUAUUUUUAUUUUAUAAUGCAUUGAUUUGGUGGGCCUUUCAUGAUGUGAUUCUGUGUUCUCCACUAACCAAUCUAUAUUUAUGUGGAGAAAUUUCAGUGCUGGUGGUUGCAUAUACUAUAUUGGUGCUACGAUAUCACAUGGUGACACUUCUUUUUAUAGGUGGUGAGGUGCAUGGGAUUGAUAUGUUUUUAUAAGCCAAUUGCUGCUGGUUGAUUUGCAAAAUUAUUGGCCUGGUUAAAAUCGUAAACCAAAUCCAAAAUUGAAUACCUCAAUUGAAAUAGCUUUAAAAGGAAACAUAAUGAAUUAAAAGAAUUGAAUGAGAAAGCUUGAGAAAAUGUAGACCCGGUCAAAAUCGGAUAACACAAUUCUAAAUUGAAUACCCCAAUUAAUUGUGAGGCCUUAAAAAUUAGAAAGCAUAAUGUGUAGUAUAAGAUGAUUGAAUGAGAGAGCUUCACGAAAUUAUUGACCCGGUCAAAAUCGGUGACACAAUUCUAAUUGAAGACCUCGGUUGAAUGUGGGCUCUUUGAACCUAAGGAGCUUAGUGUUAUAGAGGAUUCACCGCGGGAAUAAAACCCAACGAAUGUUCCUUUUUUCAAAUAACUUGCCCACCCCCACUGGCUAGUGGCGUGGUCUUUGCAUAUGGAGGACCCUGAAUUGAAUCCUAGGACCUCCCUUUUUGCCCACUUUUUUAGUCAUGAUGGCAUUUUCUAGAAAAACAAUAGCUUGGGAGUUUAUUAAGAGAUGGCAUUUUGUGUUAAAAAACAAAGAUAUGACCUUUUAUAUUUUAAUAGAUGGUAUUUUUAUAUUAAGAGAUGACAAUUUUGUUUAAGAGAUGGCAUUUUGCAUUAAGAGAUGGCAUUUUUAAUUAAGAGAUGGUGUAAGGGCAUAUUUCUUCCUAAGUGGUUUUGCUGAUUGAUGAUAUUGCAUUUGCGGAUUAAUCGUGUGCGUUGAGCAUUUCAGAUAUCUCAUGUCUAGGCACAACAUGAUUUGGUGCCUCCCGGAGCCUAUCGAAGACGACGGUUCUCUACGUUUCUUUUUGGUGGAUUUGAGUCGUAGGAAAUCCGUACUAGUAAGGAGGGGUCCGCUUCGAAAAGAUUAGGGUGGAAUCAACACAUACACAUUUGUUCCUUUGCACCACCUUCCCUUCGCUUCGAUGGAGCACCAUCCAUUUAUCCAUGUCUCUGCGAUUGAAGGUUGCCAAAUGCUAAAGCCUCUGUGGCGUGCAGUAGUACUGCUCAAGGGAGUAGUAGUACCGCAGGGGCAUGCGGUAGUACCUCUCAAGCGAGCGGUAGUACCGCUCUUGACGAGCGGUAGUACCACUGCCUUCAGCCCUGACGCUGACGCAUGCAGAAGUAAGCGCGGAUGUAACUUUUUACUUCCGCCCCUCCGCGGUAGUACCGCUCCCUGUGAGCGGUAGUACCGUGCCGGAUUUUUGCACAACUCCAACCUCAGCGAAAGUAGUUACGGAAGUAAUUUAUUUCUUCCGUGCAUUUCCAGCGCCAGUUGAGCCCUGCCUUACAGUAGUACCGUAGGGGCGCGCGGUAGUACCGCUUCGGCGGUUCUACCGCUUGUUGCCCUGUGCAAUAGGCCCUCGUCUGGUCACUACCGCACAAGCGGUAGUACCGCAAACGUGUGCGGUAGUACCACGGCUGUGUGCAAUAGUACCGUGCUACGCGGGCUGAGUGAGGGGAUGACGGUUGGAUCUUUUCCCCCACUAUAUAAAGGGGGUCUUCUUCCCCAAGAAGAUCACCUCUUCCCUCCCCAAGCUCCGUUGUUGCUUAGAGCUUCAUUUUCGCCUGAUCUCUCUCCCUAGCCAAUCAAACUUGUUGAUUUUCUAGGGAUUGGUUGAGAAGGCCCCGAUUUACACUCCCAUCAAGAGAAAUUUGAUUCCCCUUACUGAUCCCUUGCGAUCUUGUUACUCUUGGGUGUUUGAGCACCCUAGAAGGUUGAGGUCACCGCGGAGCCAUAUUCCAUUGUGGCGAAGCUUCAUGGUGUCGUUGGGAGCCUCCAAUUAAGUUGUGGAGAUAGCCCCAACUUUGUUUGUAAAGGUUCGGUCACCGCCUUCAAGGGCACCAAUAGUGGAUUCACGAUAUCUCGCAUUGUGUGAGGGCGUCCGGAGAAUACGGUGGCCCUAGUGGCUUCUUGGGGAGCAUUGUGCCUCCACACCGCUCCAACAGAGGCGUACUUCCUCUCAAAGGGAAGGAACUUCGGUAACACAUCCUCAUCUCCACCGGCUCCACUCUUGGUUAUCUCUUAUCUUUACUUGCGCAAGCUUUUAUUGUGUUGUCCCUUGCUUGCUUGUGUGCUUGUUGUUGCAUCAUAUAGGUUGCUCACCUAGUUGCACAUCUAGACAAUCCAUUUUGAUGCUAAGUUUAAUUUGGUCAAGGAAAGCUAAAAAAUGUUAGUUGCCUAUUCACCCCCCCUCUAGUCAACCAUAUCAAUCCUUUCAAUUGGUAAUAGAGCCUCGUCUCUUUAUUAAGGACUUUGUCGUCCGAAGAGUAUGGUUGGCACCACAGACGGGGUGGAGGAGCACUCCGAUGCGAGUCCUCCCUUGUCUGCAUUCGAUGAGGGAUCCUCAGUCUCUCGUGAGGAGUUCCAUGCGGCUAUGGACACAUUGAAAACCUCCAUGACAACCGAGGUUAAAGGCGUGUUUAAGGAGUUUCUUGAAGGCCUUAAAUUAUCCACCACACCGUUGAAAGUGGUUGAUCCCACUAACAAGGUGGCGGAUGCUAACUCCAAAAAGGAGGAAGCUAGUAGUGAUCAAGUUCCUUUGCCUAGUGGUAGAAAUGGGAGUGGCAUCUCUGCCCAUGUUAACCACCUCUUACAUGUGGAGGACCGGUUCCCUCCACGUAUAUGAAUCAUGUUGGUCCUCCUCCUAAGCUUGUGAAAAAUGAGGAUUUUACCUCUUGGGUGUAUCGCUUUAAACAUCAUUUGAAUCAUAGUUCUAAUAAUAUUUGGAGAAUUACUGAGCAAGGUUUCUACCCGCACGACCCAAGCAACUUCACUCCUAAGAAGCCGCGGAUCAUCAAUUCAGUGAGUCCGCUCUCUUCAUUCUCCAAGAAGCCAUUCCCCCCGAAGAUAUUGCGCACCUCUGACCUUUCACCGUGGCUAAGGAAGCAUGGGAUGUAACGCUCUCGAUGCGGCUAUAUCUCCCACGUGUCGAAGCACGACUUAGAGGCAUAACCGCAUUGAAAGCAAUGUCGCAAAUGAGGUAAUCUUCACAACAACCCAUGUAAAUUAAUAAGGGGAAAAGGAUACAUAGUUGGCUUACAAUCACCACUUCACACAAUUACAUGAAUAAAGCAUUACAUCAUCCAGAUACACACAAGGUCUGACUACGGAACCCAAAAUAAAAGAAGACUACCCCAAAAGCUACACAGAUCCCCGAUCGUCCCAACUGGGCUCCACUACUGAUCGACUGAAACAAAAAACACAAAGGACAAGAUCUUCAUCGAUCUCCUCCCGAGCUCAGUUGCGUCACCUGCACGGUAUCAUCGGCACCUACAAACUGGUUUUGGAAGUAUCUGUGAGUCACGGGGACUCAACAAUCUCACACCCUCGCGAUCAAGACUAUUUAAGCUUAUGGGUAGGUAAAAGGAUAUGAGGUGGAGCUGCAGCAAGCGACUAGCAUAUUUGGUGGCUAACAUACGCAAAUGAGAGCGAGAAGAGAAGGCAAAAGCACGGUCGAACAACUAUGAUCAAGAAGUGAUCCUAGAACAACCUACGUCAAGCAUUACUCCAACACCGUGUUCACUUCCCGGACUCCGCCGAGAAUAGACCAUCACGGUAACACACGCGGUUGAUGCAUUUUAAUUAAGUUCCAGGUUUUCUACAACCGGACAUUAACAAAUUCCCAUCUGCCCAUAACCGCGGGCACGGCUUUCGAAAGUUCAAUCCCUGCAGGGGUGUCCCAACUUAGCCCAUCACAAGCUCUCACGGUCAACGAAGGAUAUUCCUUCUCCCAAGACAAUCCGAUCAGACUCGGCAUCCCGGUUACAAGACAUCCUCGACAAUGGUAAAACAAGUCCAGCAAAGCCGCCUGAAUGUGCCGACAAAUCCCGAUAGGAGCUGCACAUAUCUCGUUCUCAGGGCACACUCAAAUUGUCCAAACUUCCGGUAGGCCAACCCAGAGUUGCCCCUGGUGACCACCGGCGGCUGACAGGUUGGACCAACACUCAGAGGAGCACUGGCCCGGGGGGGUUAAAAUAAAGAUGACCCUCGGGAGCGCGACUCCCAAGGGAAAAGUAGGUGGUGGUGAGGCAAAUGGUAAAACCAAGGUUGGGCCUUGCUGAAGGAGUUUUAUUCAAAGCGAACUGCCAAGGGGUUCCCAUUAUAACCAGACCGUGUAAGGAACGCAAAAUCCGGGAACAUAACCGAUAUGACAGAAACUAGGGCGGCAAGAGUGGAACAAAACACCAGGCAUAAGACCAAGCCUUCCACCCUUUACCAAGUAUAUGAAUGCAUUAAUUAAAUGAGAGAUAUUGUGAUAUCCCAACAAAAUAUCCAUGUUCCAACAAGGAACAAACUCCAAUCUUCACCUGCAACUAACAACGCUAUAAAAGGGGCUGAGCAAAGCGGUAACAUAGCCAAACAACGGUUUGCUAGGACAAGGUGGGUUAGAGGCUUGGUUUAACAAUAUGGGAGGCAUGAUAUAGCAAGUGGUAGGUAUCGCAACAUAGGCAUAGCAAAAGAGCGACCAUCUAGCAAGCAAAGAUAGAAGUGAUUUCGAGGGUAUGGUCAUCUUGCCUGAGAUCCCGCAAGGAAGAAGAACGAGUCCAUGAAGAAGACAAACGGACGAAGUCGAACGGAUCCUCACAAACGCGACGUUAUCGAAACUAUCCCGAAGAAGCAACACCGGAAAGAAGCAAACAACAUAGUAAACAACCACCACAUAAUCAUGGCAUGAUGCACAAUCAAGUAUGAUGCAUGUCCGGUUUAAUGAAGCAUGGCAUGGCAAAGUGCACAAACAAUACUACAAAUUAAGUGGAGCUCAAUAUGCAACGAGUUGCAUAUUGACGGAACACCACAUCAAUUAUUUAGUUCUCUCUCGGUUAGGUACCCAACAAUAUUAAAUGUUCUUAACAUGGUAAGAGGUGAAGCAUAACAAAAACUAUACCAUCUAACUAAUUUAAAUGAGGCCGGAUAUAACAAACAACAAAUCCGGUAAUCCCCAUAUGCAUUUAUCAAUUUAAUGCAAUAACAAUUUAAACAUUUUAGUUAUUGUUAUCAUGAUGCGGAUGACAUGAACAAGUUUAUGCAAUUUUUAUUAAAAGUUGACAAGAGCAUUAUGAAGCAUUUGUCACUGUGGUGGAAAGAAAGGGUGCCAUGGUGAUGAAUCUUAAAAUGGUGCCACGACAACAUAUCGGUUCCAGUAGCUCACGGAGAUACCGGUGCAAAGGAAGGGUGGCGGGAACGUGUCAUGAAAGGAUGGUGGGGUGAUCUCGGAUACCGAGUUCCCACAUGUCGGUGGCAAGGCAAAAGAGGGGCAACGUGCACCGAUAGUUCGGACUCGAGGCGAACAAGGGUGCAUCUCAUACAACAUGCAUUUAUUCGUUCACGGGCGUCGUCUCGGGGUUAUACCUUUUGACGCGUGCAUUAUCGGAUCAGAUCAAGUUCAUAGAGGGAAGUAGGCAUUCUUGCGACGACGGUAGUGGAAGUAGUCGUUCUCGCUGCGUAGAUGUUCACACUCCGUAGGUGUUCAUAUCAUCGGUGUCGUGGGGUACUUGGGUUCUUCGGACUUUCCGGUCCCGUUCUUGCGAUGGUAGUCGUUCACGUUCGUUCGGAGAGGUACUUGAUGACUCUAACGUCUUCGGGGCGACGGUAGUGGUACACACAAAAGUAGUCAAACUUGAUGGAUCCGAGGACUCCGGGCGUCGUGCACCGUUCGUAGACGUUCGGGUCUCCCGUAGAGGUACUAAACGAAUCCCGGAUAUGUAGUCGUACACGCACGUAGAUGAACUUGACGAAUCCGAACUCUUCGAGGGUCGUCGUGAUGCUCGUUCAUGUAGUAGUCGUACACGUGUACCGUGGUCGAGGUCUUGUUGGACUUGCAGGCCUUGGCGAUUCUGGAGACGCCGGUAGAAGUACUGGACGCGACACUGUAAACUCGUACACUUUCGGAGAGGACUUUUCCAUGAACCCAAAAUGAAACAGCCCCAAACGAAGGCAAAAGAGGCGGAGGCGCACGAGGGUAGCGAGGCAGUGGUCUCGCGGCAACAGGAGGUCGACGGCGGCGCGACACGGGAAGAGCAGCAGUAGGACGGAAUGGCUACCCUCGCCCUUAGCGUGGAGCAAGGGAGGCGAAGCUCCUGGAGGCUGGAGGUGCCAUGGACCUCGGGCGCACGAGGAGGAGCAGGGAAAAGAGGUCGGGCGGGCGACGUGCUUGGGACGGCUGGACCUCGCCGAAUCAAAGAAGGAGCGGCGGCGCACGAGAGUUCAAGUGGCUCCCUGGCGGAUCCCAGCGAGGACAGGGCGCGGGAGGUUGGCGGCUGCAGCAGAGCUCCCGCGCAGCAAGGCGGCAUGCGGAGCUUGGGGCGCGAGGGUGCGGGGCGGCGGCCUGCGGCGCCUGGCGGAGGAGGAGAAGUUGCAGGGGCGCCGGGGUGUGAGGCUCGGUCGCGUCGGGGUCCUAGAGAGUAUUGGGCGCGGGAGGUUCCUCCCCUGGCUCGGAGUGUAAGGGAGUAAAGGGAGACGAGGGAAGGAAGAGCGAGGGGGUCGGGACGAGCAAGAGAGAUGGGGGGAUCGAGCACUCGGCUCUCCUGGCGGCGCAAACGGGGAGACAAGGAGGAGGGGAUCGAGGGAGAGGGUUCGCUGCGCCUAGGUUAGAGCAGGACGCCGGCUGGGCCUUGGGCCUUUUUGGUCAGGCCGCAGGAAGAGAGUCCCAGGCUGCUGGGCUGAACAGUGAGGCCCAAGGGGCACUGCUGCUAUCUCUCUCUCUCUCUCUCUUAAAAAUCUUAUUUACUUUAACAAAAAAUAAAAUUAGAGAGAGGAGAAGAAAGAGAGGGUUAGGGAAGGAGUUGCGCAUGGGAAUAAUUUCCCCGGAUUCACAAAAAUGUGCUCAUACCGCGAAAAAAAUAGAAAUGGCCAAGAUUGAAAGAUUAAAUUCAAACUCAUUUGAUUUAAAUUCAAAUGAUUUGAAUAGCAAGUGAGGUUUGGGAAGGUUCAAAAAUGUUCGGUCUUUUUGGAGGAACCUCGGUAAAUGGGAAGAUAAUUUUGGCAAGGUUUUGAAGUCAAGCUUGAACUAGGAAAGACAUGGGGAAAAUGCAAGUGUGUUAUGGUGAACUCCAAAAGAAUGGAAUAUUUAUUAUAGCUCCCUAAUAAUAAUGGGAGGGUAUGUUAUAAAGAGAACUCACCAUGAGAAUUCCCUCAAUUUAAAUGGACCGAAGAUCCAUACGAUUUAUUUAGUUGAGUUGCAAAAGAAUUAUGACAUGAUGCAAUGCACAUGAUGCAAAGAUGAAUGCAAAAAACCAACAACUCACACAACGAAAACCCGGAAACCCUGGAAGGCAUCUGAAGCUCCGGUCUUGGGGCAUCACAACACUCCACCACUACAAGAGGAUCUCGUCCCGAGAUCUAGAAUGGCACCGGAGGGGAAAACGGAAGAGAAAGAGAAGAGGUAAAACUAAGUUGCUUCUUUGACAAACGAGUGAAACCAAAGAACCUUGAGUGGUUGAGCAAAUUGAAAGAAAGAAUACAACGGAGAUGAACAAAGUUGAAAACACUCCGUUAGAAAAGAUGAACAAGGAAGAACAAAUUCGUAUAGCACUCCGGUUGAAAAGAGAUGCAAGACUUGAUAGGAUGAAUAGGACGUGAGCAAAGGGGGCACAACACUCCGGUUAAAUGGGUAAGCACGAAAAGAACACCAUCCGAGAUGAUGAGAGAAAAGAGCAACAUCACAACGCCUCCGGAAGAGAGAAUAGAAGAUGGAUCAUUGAAAUAAAAGAAUGGAGAAGAAAAUGCAAACUUCUAUAACAAAA